ACAUGGGAUAGUGGUUUAAGUGUUGGACUUUGACUCCAGAGACCAGGGUUCAAAUCCUUGCUCAGGCA
This is a non-coding RNA of Phrynosoma platyrhinos (Desert horned lizard), 68 nucleotides long. The record is from the annotation of a GenBank genome assembly. Lineage: Eukaryota; Metazoa; Chordata; Lepidosauria; Squamata; Phrynosomatidae.